RNAcentral lists this ribosomal RNA (253 nucleotides) under uncultured bacterium. Its description in RNAcentral is "partial 16S ribosomal RNA". It matches the Rfam family "Bacterial small subunit ribosomal RNA", at positions 524 to 776 of the family's 1533-position model. The record is from RNAcentral.
UACGUAGGGGGCAAGCGUUGUCCGGAUUUAUUGGGCGUAAAGAGCGUGUAGGCGGCCUGGUAGGUCAGCUGUGAAAACUCGAGGCUCAACCUCGAGACGUCGGUUGAAACCACCUGGCUAGAGUCCGGAAGAGGAGUGUGGAAUUCCCGGUGUAGCGGUGGAAUGCGCAGAUAUCGGGAGGAACACCCGUGGCGAAGGCGGCACUCUGGGACGGUACUGACGCUGAGACGCGAAAGCGUGGGGAGCGAACAGG